CUUUUAUACAUGCCAAACACGAUUUGCAGUGCUGUGUAGAUGAUUCCUACAGGGUUGUCUAUUAACGCAUGCUUAUUGUUAGAUACGUUCAAAUAACCUACGCUUGAAACAUCACGUUGUUUGAACAAUGUCGGAGUCUGGCCACAGCCAGCCUGGCGUGUAUGGUCAGGGGCGGAGGAGGCGCCGACGCCGGGACAGGGAUCCCAUAGGACCGGGACAAAAUCUGUCGGGUCCCAGCCGUGAUCGGGAGUAUGUGCCUAGAGAACGCAGGGAUGGUAGUGAGGAUCCACCUGGACCACUUCUUCAGAAGACCCCCAUAAUUCUCGCCAAACCACCUGGAGAAAGGAGCAAGAGUCAGAAUGUCCCUGUUGGUGGCGCGCCAUCCCUGGAGAAACCCAUCAUGCUCAUGAAGAGCAGGGAGGAGGCUGGUAAACCUGGGACCCCGCCAGAUACUGGCCCACCUGUGACUGGCACUGGAGCUGCCAAGCUGGAGAGGGAGGGCCAGCGUCCAACCCAGCCCGUGUAUCAGAUCCAGAACAGGGGCAUGGGAGCAGCAGCCUCCAGUGCUGCUGUGGACCCCGUGAUUGGCCAGACGAAGUUGCUUCCACCUGAGAGAAUGAAGCACAGUAUUAAGUUGGUGGACGAUCAGAUGAACUGGUGUGACAGUGCCAUGGAGUAUCUGCGCGAUCAGACGGACAUGCUUGUGGUGGGGGUCCUGGGGCUUCAAGGGACGGGCAAGUCCACAAUCAUGUCUCUCCUGUCGGCUAACACUCCGGAGGAGGAUCAGAGAACGCACGUGUUCAGGGCUCAGACCCAGGAGAUCAAGGAGAGAGGGGGGAACCAGAGCAGCGGCAUCGACUUCUACAUAACCCAGGAGCGAGUCAUCUUCCUGGACACACAGCCUAUUAUGAGCCCGUCCAUUUUAGAUCACUUGAUCAACAAUGACCGCAAACUUCCCCCAGAAUACAGCCUCCCUCACACCUAUGUGGAGAUGCAGUCUCUUCAGAUCGCUGCCUUCCUGUUCACGGUGUGCCACGUGGUCAUCGUUCUUCAGGACUGGUUCACUGACAUCAACAUUUACAGGUUCCUGCAGACAGCUGAGAUGCUGAAGCCCUCUACGCCAUCCGCUAGCCACGACAGCACUGGAUCCUCAGGAAACGACGAGGGCUCGGAGUAUUACCCCCAUAUAGUUUUCCUUCAGAACAAGGCUCGGAGGGAGGAGUUCUGCCCCCGGAACCUGAAGAAGAUGCACAUGACCGUGGACAAACUGAUGGCUCACUCCCAUCUCAAGUACAAAGGCACCCUGUCCAUGCUAGACUGUAACAUCUUCCCCGGCCUGGGCCGAGACUACCUGGAGACUGAGGUGAACCUGUUCCUCCUGCCCAUGCUGGACAGCGAUGGGGAGGACACCUUAACCAGAGCAGGUCCGGCGUCGGGUGCCGGGGGGGCUCCCCUCUUCUCCCUGCUGCCCGGGUACAGGGGCCACCCCACCUUCUCCUCACUCGUGGCCAAGCUGCGCAGCCAGGUGCUGGCCAUGUCUCGCAGCCAGCUGUCCCACACCAUCCUCACAGAGAAGAAUUGGUUCCACUACGCGGCACGGAUCUGGGAUGGCGUGAAGAAGUCCUCUGCCCUCUCUGAGUACAGCCGCCUGCUGUCUUAGUGGCCCCCGCCGAAGCCGCGACCACAGGAAGACACGAGUGACCGCUCGAGCUCGAGCUCCUCCACCUCUGCCGUCAGCCUGCCUCUGCCCUUACCCACAGCUGGAGGUCUGGACGUUUUGGACAGCCUCCCAGCACCAGCAGGACAGUGAAGAGGCUGACGGGACGUGAAUGGGAGACCGCAAUGGGGCGGGACUGGGAAAUGAUCAGAGUCCGACUCAAACCCGCGUCCCCAUGGACCCGAGUGUGGUGUUGGUGCUGUAGCCAGUUGCGUCACAGUAUCUCCCGGACACGAGUGACUUUUUGACACGGGAGUCGUUGGGGAGAUACUGAAGAAAAGUUGUUUUCAGCUUGUUUUCUGAAGGCAAUGUUCCCCCCAGGUCAUAACGUAAAAACGCUCACAGAAAUCCGUCAUUAAGGUAUGCUCAUACCAGGAAUGUGAAUGGCAGAAACAGCAGUUUUAAGUAUCACUCAAAUGUGCAUAACAUCCACACUGAACACUUGUAAUGAUAACGUGAAUGCUAAUUUUGUUGGGGAUCAUUUUUAGGGCGAUUUUUGAGAACAGUAGAACUGGGCUGUAGACAUCACAUGGACAUGAGGAGACUUUCAUAAUCAUUGAUCAGAAUGGAUGUUCUAGAUAGAGUUGUCUUUAUAGUUGAUGAACUGCAUAGUGCCCGUGAUUCAUUGCACAGCCAGAUUUGUGACCGUUUCGUUAUUUUACUGAAAAACUGAAAGACUUCGGUUUUGAGUUCUAUGGAUUCAUACAGACCAGUGUGUAACACGAUGGAAGCCCAUGUUUUUGGCAUAAGCCAAUAUUCCUCCAAAAAUGUUCCUCCAUAUGACUAUGUAUAUGUAUGUAAUAAAGCCAAAUGUCACACGUGAUCAUC
Sardina pilchardus (European sardine) is the source of this 2545-nucleotide RNA transcript. It is a transcript of the gene named SMG9 nonsense mediated mRNA decay factor, with no coding region annotated. NCBI's taxonomy places the organism in Eukaryota, Metazoa, Chordata, Actinopteri, Clupeiformes, Clupeidae. The record is from RefSeq and is a predicted model, not a curated record. The transcript has 15 exons.